This 490-nucleotide ribosomal RNA is filed under the name uncultured bacterium. RNAcentral's name for it is "partial 16S ribosomal RNA". It matches the Rfam family "Bacterial small subunit ribosomal RNA", at positions 30 to 507 of the family's 1533-position model. The record is from RNAcentral.
AUUGAACGCUGGCGGCAGGCCUAACACAUGCAAGUCGAACGGUAACAGGAAGACGCUUGCUUCUUUGCUGACGAGUGGCGGACGGGUGAGUAAUGUCUGGGAAACUGCCUGAUGGAGGGGGAUAACUACUGGAAACGGUAGCUAAUACCGCAUAACGUCGCAAGACCAAAGAGGGGGACCUUCGGGCCUCUUGCCAUCGGCUGUGCCCAGAUGGGAUUAGCUAGUAGGUGGGGUAACGGCUCACCUAGGCGACGAUCCCUAGCUGGUCUGAGAGGAUGACCAGCCACACUGGAACUGAGACACGGUCCAGACUCCUACGGGAGGCAGCAGUGGGGAAUAUUGCACAAUGGGCGCAAGCCUGAUGCAGCCAUGCCGCGUGUAUGAAGAAGGCCUUCGGGUUGUAAAGUACUUUCAGCGGGGAGGAAGGGAGUAAAGUUAAUACCUUUGCUUAUUGACGUUACCCGCAGAAGAAGCACCGGCUAACUCCGUG